UGAGAUAUUACCUGCCCUAUGAUUUUUUAAAUGGCCGCGGUAUUUUGACUGUGCAAAGGUAGCAUAAUCAUUAGUUUAUUAAUUGUAAACUUGUAUGAAUGGUUUGACGAAAUAUUACCUGUCUUAUUUAUAUUAAUUGAAUUUAAAUUUUUAGUUAAAAUGCUUAAAUUUUAUUAUAGGACGAGAAGACCCUAUAGAUCUUUAUUAUAUUGGUAUUUAUAUAGUUAGGAUUUAUUUAUUUAUAAAUAUUUAUAUUUUUUUGUUGGGGUGACAUGGAGAAUUCUUAUAAACUUUUUAUUUUUUUUUACAAUGAUUAUUGAAUUUUAGAACUUAUUGUAAUGAUAUAAGAUUAGAUACCUUAGGGAUAACAGCGUAAUUUUUCUUGAGAGUU
Molecule: ribosomal RNA, 391 nt
Filed under: Phasmatodea sp. JD-2003
Lineage: Eukaryota; Metazoa; Arthropoda; Insecta; Phasmatodea
Description: partial 16S ribosomal RNA
Source: RNAcentral